Non-coding RNA from Xyrichtys novacula (pearly razorfish), 2533 nucleotides. NCBI's taxonomy places the organism in Eukaryota, Metazoa, Chordata, Actinopteri, Labriformes, Labridae. The record is from the annotation of a GenBank genome assembly.
CAAUGAGUGAUUUCAGUAAGUGCUUUAGUCACCCUGAAAUAACUCGGGUAUAUGCCAGCAGGGUAAAGUCUUUGACUGUCAGGGAAAGUCCAAAAUAGAUCAUUGCACAGAGAGAAAAUGGCAAUAUUGUAGUAACAGUCAUGCCAAUAAAGUUCAUUGAAAAUGAAAUUGAGAAACUUCUUGUGUUGUAUUUGCUCUUGAAUGUAUGUUGCUUUGGACGGAUAAGUGCAGCUGCUGUUCAUUACUCUGUAGGCUGAAGAAAGUAAAUAAAUCUUCAUUUAUAAAGCACCAAUUCACAGCAAAUGUUACCUCUGGAAGCUUAACAAAAUGUGCUGGUUUACACCAUACUCUUCAUGAUAUUUACACACGUGGACAAAAUUGUUGGUACCCCUCAGUUAAAGAAGGAAAAACCCACAAUUCUCACUGAAAUCACUUGAAACCUACAAAAGUAACAAUAAAUAAAAAUUUAUUGAAAAUUAAAUAAUCAAAAUCAGCCAUUACGUUUGAAAUGUUGAUUAACAUAAUUAUUAAAAAAAAACAAACUAAUGAAAUAGGGCUGGACAAAAAUGAUGGUACCUCUAUAAAAGAUUGAAAACUAUUUGACCAGAGUGACAUGAUUAACUCAGGUGUGUCCUUUAAUUGACAUCACAGGUGUUUCCAAACUCAUAAUCAGUCAGUCUGCCUAUUUAAAGGGAGACAAGUAGUCACUCUGCUGUUUGGUGAAAAGGUGUGUACCACACUGAACAUGGACAACAGAAAGCGAAGGAGAGAAUUGUCCCAGGACAUCUGAAAAAAAAUUAUAGACAAACAUCUUAAAGGUGCAGGCUAUAAGACCAUCUCUAAACAGCUUGAAGUUCCUGUGACAACAGUGGCUCAUAUUAUUCAGAAGUUCAAGACCCACGGGACAGUAGCCAACCUCCCUGGACGUGGCCGCAAGAGGAAAAUUGAUGACAGAUUGAAGAGACAGAUUGUUCGAAUUGUAUCCAAAGAGCCCAGGACAAUCUCCAAAGAAAUUAAAGGUGAACUCCAAGGCCAAGGUACAUCAGUGUCAGAUCGCACCAUUCGUCGUUGUUUGAGCCAAAGUGGACUUCAUGGGAGACGACCAAGGAGGACACCACUGCUGAAAAAAAAUCAUAAAAAAGCGAGACUGGAAUUUGCAAAAAUGCAUGUUGACAAGCCACAAAGCUUCUGGGAGAAUGUCCUUUGGACAGAUGAGACCAAACUGGAGCUUUUUGGUAAGGCACAUCAACUCUAUGUUCAUAGACUCAAAAACCAAGCAUACGAAGAAAAGAACACUGUCCCUACGGUGAAACAUGGAGGAGGCUCAGCAAUAUUUUGGGGCUGCUUUGCUGCAUCUGGCACAGGGUGUCUUGAAUGUGUGCAAGGUAAAAUGAAAUCUGACGACUAUCAAGGCAUUCUGGAGAGAAAUGUGCUGCCUAGUGUCAGAAAGCUUGGUCUCAGUCGCAGGUCAUGGGUCUUCCAACAGGACAACGAUCCAAAACACACAGCCAAAAACACCCAAGAAUGGCUGAGAGAAAAGCGUUGGACUAUUCUAAAGUGGCCUUCCAUGAGCCCAGAUCUGAAUCCCAUUGAACAUCUGUGGAAGGAGCUGAAACAUGCCAUUUGGAGAAGACACCCAUCAAACCUGAGACAACUGGAGCAGUUUGCUCAUGAGGAGUGGGCCAAAAUACCUGUUGACAGCUGCAGAACGCUCAUUGACAAAUACAGAAAUCGUUUAAUUGCAGUGAUUGCCUCAAAAGGUUGUGCAACAAAAUAUUAAGUUAUGGGUACCAUCAUUUUUGUCCAGCCCUAUUUCAUUAGUUUGUUUUUUUUAAAUAAUUAUGUUAAUCAACAAUUCAAAAGUAAUGGCUGAUUUUGAUUAUUUAAUUUUCAAUAAAUUUUUAUUUAUUGUUACUUUUGUAGGUUUCAAGUGAUUUCAGUGAGAAUUGUGGGUUUUUCCUUCUUUAACUGAGGGGUACCAACAAUUUUGUCCACGUGUGUACAAAGACCCAACAUAAAGAUGAGAUAAGACUGAGCCCCAUGUUGUAAGAUCCACUCUGAUCUGUCACCAGCCAUAUGGGUGAAACACUUAACAGCAUCAAUCAAGUCACAGUGGAAAGGAAGAACUUCUUUUAACAGGCAGAAACCUCAAGCAGUACCAGACUGAUGUUUAACAGUCAUCUGCUGAGACUAAGCUUGGUUUAGAGAGGAGAGAGAGGGAGAUUUUAAUUAGAAUGGACUGAUCAAAGUUUCAUUCAUGGCAAAUUAAAGUUCAAAGGUAUGCAGUAUUAGCAUAGCAAUCACAGCAUUAGUAAUAAAAGGUUGAGUUAAAUAAUGGUGGUUGGAAUUUAAGCAACUGGAGCAGGAAGAUUCAAAAAGUUUGACAGUUCAACUUGAGCUUUGUAGCAGAGAUAAAAACGGUGGGGCUGAUGCUUGAGGAGAUAUGAUAUAUAAGAAGAUAUAUUGAAUUUUCCUUAGGGGAUUGAUAAAAGUUAUUAUGAUAUGAUAAGAUAAGUACUUUACUGAUCCCUCA